CCUCCGGUGAAUGCUAGGGGAGCGUGUCGUAAGACACGGGCCCCUUCCUUUCACGACUGUUUAUGUUUAAUGAACGGAAGUUGGAGGCAAUAACAGGUCUGUGAUGCCCUUAGAUGUUCUGGGCUGCACGCGCGCUACACUGACAGAGGCAGCGAGUGUUUUGGCUGUCGCGGAAGCGUUGGCAAAUCUUGUGAAACUCUGUCGUGCUGGGGAUAGACCUUUGCAAUUAUCGGUCUUCAACGAGGAAUUCCUAGUAAGCGCAAGUCAUCAGCUUGCGUUGAUUACGUCCCUGCCCUUUGUACACACCGCCCGUCGUUACUACCGAUUGAAUGGCUUAGUGAGGUGUUCAGAGCGAGGUGUGAGGUGCGAGCCGAAUGCUUUGUGAAGUUCCCCAAACUUGGUCAUUUAGAGGAAGUACAAGUCG
RNAcentral lists this ribosomal RNA (424 nucleotides) under Microsporidia sp. clade VIII. RNAcentral describes it as "SSU rRNA". It matches the Rfam family "Eukaryotic small subunit ribosomal RNA", at positions 1341 to 1791 of the family's 1831-position model. Lineage: Eukaryota; Fungi; Microsporidia. The record is from RNAcentral.